AUUGAACGCUGGCGGCAUGCCUUACACAUGCAAGUCGAACGGUAACAGGUCUUCGGAUGCUGACGAGUGGCGAACGGGUGAGUAAUACAUCGGAACGUGCCCGAUCGUGGGGGAUAACGGAGCGAAAGCUUUGCUAAUACCGCAUACGAUCUACGGAUGAAAGCAGGGGACCGCAAGGCCUUGCGCGGACGGAGCGGCCGAUGGCAGAUUAGGUAGUUGGUGGGAUAAAAGCUUACCAAGCCGACGAUCUGUAGCUGGUCUGAGAGGACGACCAGCCACACUGGGACUGAGACACGGCCCAGACUCCUACGGGAGGCAGCAGUGGGGAAUUUUGGACAAUGGGCGCAAGCCUGAUCCAGCCAUGCCGCGUGCAGGAUGAAGGCCUUCGGGUUGUAAACUGCUUUUGUACGGAACGAAACGGUGAGCUCUAAUAAAGCUUGCUAAUGACGGUACCGUAAGAAUAAGCACCGGCUAACUACGUG
RNAcentral lists this ribosomal RNA (482 nucleotides) under uncultured bacterium. RNAcentral describes it as "bacterial SSU rRNA". It matches the Rfam family "Bacterial small subunit ribosomal RNA", at positions 30 to 507 of the family's 1533-position model. The record is from RNAcentral.